UACGAAGGGGGCUAGCGUUGCUCGGAAUCACUGGGCGUAAAGCGCACGUAGGCGGAUCUUUAAGUCAGGGGUGAAAUCCUGGAGCUCAACUCCAGAACUGCCUUUGAUACUGAAGAUCUCGAGUUCGGGAGAGGCGAGUGGAACUGCGAGUGUAGAGGUGAAAUUCGUAGAUAUUCGCAAGAACACCAGUGGCGAAGGCGGCUCACUGGCCCGAUACUGACGCUGAGGCACGAAAGCGUGGGGAGCAAACAGG
RNAcentral lists this ribosomal RNA (253 nucleotides) under uncultured bacterium. Its description in RNAcentral is "partial 16S ribosomal RNA". It matches the Rfam family "Bacterial small subunit ribosomal RNA", at positions 524 to 776 of the family's 1533-position model. The record is from RNAcentral.